UGAUGAUGAUGAUGAUGAUGAUGAUGAUGAUGAUGAUGACGGUGUCGCUGACGAUGACGUCAUGAUCAUCAUCAUAAUCAUCACCAUGAUCA
RNAcentral lists this microRNA precursor (92 nucleotides) under Glossina morsitans morsitans. RNAcentral describes it as "microRNA mir-598". The record is from RNAcentral. Lineage: Eukaryota; Metazoa; Arthropoda; Insecta; Diptera; Glossinidae.